CGAUUUCUUUUCACCAUCGAAUCCAAGUAGAAAAUCAAUUUUGUGUGUUUCUAUUCACAUUUUUUUGUUUGCUUGUGGUAUGGCGCCGACGCGGAAUCUUUUGUUAUUUCAGUGAAACAAUUUCCACCAUGAAAAAAUCUUUAAAUUUUGGAACUGGUAAUUCACUUUCAUAACGAGGACCUGGAGCAAAGUUAUCUUAUUUCUUAAGUCCCCAUCUUGAAAAAAAUACGAAUUGACAAGCUUCACUUGAAAUAUAACUUUACCCGAGCAGAAGUCCGCUUAUAGUAUUUCGAAUAUUAUUUCAGGAAAAUAGAAUAUUCAAAACUCCUACCAUGAACAUCGAGCAAUUUCACCUCCGCUCGCGGCAAAAAAACUCAACAACACUCCCCCUCCUUCCCAAAAAA
RNAcentral lists this long non-coding RNA (404 nucleotides) under Mytilus galloprovincialis (Mediterranean mussel). The record is from RNAcentral. Lineage: Eukaryota; Metazoa; Mollusca; Bivalvia; Mytilida; Mytilidae.